Long non-coding RNA from Phlebotomus papatasi, 1038 nucleotides. RefSeq lists it as uncharacterized. The transcript has 2 exons. The record is from RefSeq and is a predicted model, not a curated record. Lineage: Eukaryota; Metazoa; Arthropoda; Insecta; Diptera; Psychodidae.
AAAAGAAAUGCAGAUACGACAGAGGUAUACGUAACCGACGAGAUGUAACUUUUCUUUUUCUAAAACAAGAUACAAUUUUAAGUUAAAAAAAAAAAACAGAGAUGGAGAUAUUCUAUUUAACCGUCCUUAUCGCAAUCAUAAAGUUGCACUUGCCUAUUUGUUCUGGAAAAUCCGUGUGCGAUAAGAAAAUUCAACAUGAACGACUCAUUUAGAAUCUUGAGGUGUGUUCCCCCAAACUUCCCAAGUGCAUUUAACAGUGAACUCUUUCAGAUGUUUUUGUGAAGCAAACAUUUACGAAUUUUCCGGGAAAUGUGUCUGGAAACUCUUCCUAAGUUUCAAGUGUCUUCAAGUAUAAAAUGCCAGAUGAUGAUGUUACCUUCACUCACUGGAGCCUCGCGAGUUCCCUGAAAAUCGCAAUAUCCAUAGCGAUAAUCCUCACAACCCUCCUUGGUAUUGCAAUUUACUUCUGUAUCCGCCAGAGACGUGCUAGAAAAUCCCCAAGCACCCCCCAAACUCCCUCAAGUGCCACAGAAAUGUCAUCAAUCUCCUCCCAAGAAACAAACUCUUUGGGGAAACGCUAGUUUUUUUUAUCUGUAAUUUAUCAAGCUACACAAAGAGACAUUCACUCAACUUUCACCAUGAGAGCAUCCCAAUUGAUUUCCAUGCUGUACACCUCUUCCUCCAGCCAGAGAUGGUAGUGCUCCUUGAAUUCUUCACUCAACUCAACAUCCUCAACACUGUAAGCAGCAGCACUUUGAAUGCAUCUGCCCUGCUGACCGUACAAAUCAUUGGCACACAAAUCAAUCACGCCAUCCAGAUCAAUCAUCUCGCCCUGCCCGGACGCUAUACGAUUGUUUCCACUGGCAUUGGAUGAGAGAUAGCGGCGAUUAUUGAAGCGGUCUACGCAUGCUCUCAGCGUGCAUUCCUCUGCCUGGAAGUCCCAGGGACGAGCAUCGAGAUCUGGAAAUUUUUCAAUAAAUUCCUUAAACGCAUGAAAAACCUCUUAAAACAAUAAAUAAAAAAAGAGAAAUAAGAAAA